AGGGUUUGAUUCUGGCUCAGGAUGAACGCUGGCGGCGUGCCUAACACAUGCAAGUCGAGCGAGAAAUCCGCGAAGGAAGCUUCGGCCAAAUUUGCGGAUGGAAAGCGGCGGACGGGUGAGUAACGCGUAGGUAACCUGCCCCAUACAGAGGGAUAGCCACUGGAAACGGUGAUUAAUACCUCAUAACACGAGUCUUUCGCAUGGAAGAGUCGUCAAAGAUUUAUCGGUAUGGGAUGGACCUGCGUCUGAUUAGCUAGUUGGUGGGGUAACGGCCUACCAAGGCGACGAUCAGUAGCCGACCUGAGAGGGUGAUCGGCCACAUUGGAACUGAGACACGGUCCAA
Molecule: ribosomal RNA, 343 nt
Filed under: uncultured bacterium
Lineage: Bacteria
Description: bacterial SSU rRNA
Rfam family: Bacterial small subunit ribosomal RNA
Source: RNAcentral